AUGGCACACUACUUGGUGGGGUCACGGUCCUGGUCUUUGUUGGGCUGGUAGCUGUAAUUGUGAUACUGAAAAAGAGGUGUCUUCAAGCUAGGAGCCUACCGGAUCCACAGGAACCAUGACAGAGCCUUCUUACAAGAACUUCUGAAACUUCCGUGUUCUACUUCUCUGGGAAACCAAAGCCCAAGAAUGUGAAAGACUUUGAUACUACAAAAAAUUUUCCAGCCUGUGCUGUGGCCUGCAGGGCCUCAACAGUGAGCUAGUAAUUUAGAUCUUAUUGAAGAAUGGCACUUAAAUGUCUGUCUCAGUGACACCAAGGUUUUCUAUGUGUAUUAUCAAGCAAGGUUCUAAGCACUUUACUUUCAUUAAGCUGUUUAAUCCUCCUAACAUGCAUAUGUGGAAGAAUAAUCCUGUGCUGUGGGUGAAAAACCUGAGGUCCAGAGAGGGUGAGCCAUAGGCAGAGCUGUAAUGAGACCAGGCAGUCUGACUGCCAUCUGUGUGAUUCACCACUGCACCAAGUCUCAACGACAACUAUGCUGUUCUGUAAAUGUGCAGUUAAGUACAGGUCUCCAAUCCUUUACCUGCAAUUCUAAAAUGCAAAAACAUCCAAAAGCCAAGGGUUUUUUCCUAAUUUGGGCAUCAAACCUGACCCAAACUGAAGUGAGAUCAUUUAUACCCUUAAUUUCUUCUAGUGUGCCUUUUUGCAAUUCUCUACUGAAAUGUUAAUAUAUUCAACAUCUGCCAGAUAGAAUCCUUUCUAAUAUGCAAGGAAUUAUAAAUACAUCUGACCCAAAGGUUUCAAGUAAGGGAUUAUGGACCUGUAUUAAUAAAGUUUUACAGUAAUAAACAUGUUUUAUUUUCACUGAUAAAAACAGAGUUCUCUGGCUGGAUGGUUGGAGUGGAGUCUAGCUAAAAGGCGAGUCUGGGCAUGAGUGCCUAGGUACACCCAACCCUUCUUCCCUGAGUAGAAGAGGUGGCAGAAGCAGGUUGGAGGAAGCUGCUGGCUGUCCAGUCUUAUUUCACAUUGAUACAGCUGUUUCACCUUUCUGUGCCUCUCUCCCAAGACUUCAGACUCCUCUGGAUCCCCAGACCUACAGCUGAUUUAAUCUACCCCAAAACCCUACCCCCUCGAAGUUAGAUCCUUUAUGGGUAAGGAUAGGACUUAGGCUGGCAUCUUGCAUGGCUUCUUUCAGGACAGGGGGUUUAUAGAAGGUCAGGGAGCUUUUAGACUGAGGUGGACCUGUCCCCCUAGGAUUGGUUUACAUAAGUGAGAGCCCUGGGAAUAAGGACAUGGAAGUUCCUAUCUAGAUCUGUACUUUUCCAUGUCCAGGACCCUAAAUGCCUCUAGUGCUGAGGGCUUAUAGGACCAUCUCUUCCAAUGUGGAAAAAGGGCAGAGAGGCCAUGGGCUGUACAGAGGACAGCAGCAGACCUCAGGCUGCGUACCACUGUAAGGAUAAGGUCACUUCAGUCUUCUUAAUGGCCUUAUUGGCUACUUAUUUUAAAAGCUGCCUGAACACAUCUACAACUAUCCUUGAUAUCUAUCAGCAACCCUUGCUUUGGUACCUCACUGCCUUUUUAUGCUGGCUUUCCCCACCUUGGUGGUCAGUGCAGGCCCCUCAGCUCACAUGGCCUUCUCACCUAGGCAUGACACCUGCAUGGAAGCCACAGGACCUUAAGGGCAGGGGGAUGGUGGACAGAAGAGCUCUGACUAGAAGGAGAGCAGAUAGCCGCUGUAGUAGCCUCCUGGCAUAAAGGACUUUCUUCCACUUAAUCUUCAGUCUUAUCCUCCCACUUCUGGAGCAUCCCUCAUCCUAACUUCUUGUUCUCAAGAGUCCCCCAAGGCAUCCCAGACAACAUCUGCCAGACAGAAUCCACCAUUCCUCUUGCUGAGGGAAAUGCUGUCCUGAGCUUCAGGCAGUGUCUACUACUUAACUGGAUUAUGAGACCCUUGGCAACUG
Marmota flaviventris (yellow-bellied marmot) is the source of this 1956-nucleotide non-coding RNA. NCBI's taxonomy places the organism in Eukaryota, Metazoa, Chordata, Mammalia, Rodentia, Sciuridae. The record is from RefSeq and is a predicted model, not a curated record.